UACGUAGGGUGCAAGCGUUGUCCGGAAUUAUUGGGCGUAAAGCGCGCGUAGGCGGCUACCUAAGUCGGAUGUGAAAGCCCCUGGCUUAACUGGGGAAGUGCACCCGAAACUGAGUAGCUAGAGUGCGAAAGAGGGUCGCGGAAUUCCCGGUGUAGAGGUGAAAUUCGUAGAUAUCGGGAGGAACACCGGUGGCGAAGGCGGCGACCUGGGUCGACACUGACGCUGAGGCGCGAAAGCGUGGGGAGCAAACAGG
This 253-nucleotide ribosomal RNA is filed under the name uncultured bacterium. RNAcentral's name for it is "partial 16S ribosomal RNA". It matches the Rfam family "Bacterial small subunit ribosomal RNA", at positions 524 to 776 of the family's 1533-position model. The record is from RNAcentral.